ACCCUCCAGAUUCUUUACUCCUAACUAUUGCUUUAAGCGGCUACAAAAGGACGGAAAGGAAAACUGAAGUGGGCUUGCAGUCUCUAGUGACAGACAAGUUCAUUUCAAACAGAC
This 114-nucleotide small nucleolar RNA is filed under the name Echinops telfairi (small Madagascar hedgehog). RNAcentral describes it as "Small nucleolar RNA SNORA61 (ENSETEG00000026588.1)". The record is from RNAcentral. Lineage: Eukaryota; Metazoa; Chordata; Mammalia; Afrosoricida; Tenrecidae.